RNAcentral lists this ribosomal RNA (117 nucleotides) under Lepisosteus oculatus (spotted gar). The record is from RNAcentral. Lineage: Eukaryota; Metazoa; Chordata; Actinopteri; Semionotiformes; Lepisosteidae.
GUCAGCAGCCAUAUCACCCUGCAGCUUACAGCUAGCAGCUCAUAGAAGCUAAGCAAGUGUGAGCCUGGUCAGUACCUGGAUGGGAGACCCCUGGAAAAACUCAGCUUGCUGCUGGAU